This 72-nucleotide transfer RNA is filed under the name Perkinsus olseni. RNAcentral's name for it is "tRNA-Pro". It matches the Rfam family "tRNA". From Rfam's summary of the family: Transfer RNA (tRNA) molecules are approximately 80 nucleotides in length. Their secondary structure includes four short double-helical elements and three loops (D, anti-codon, and T loops). Further hydrogen bonds mediate the characteristic L-shaped molecular structure. tRNAs have two regions of fundamental functional importance: the anti-codon, which is responsible for specific mRNA codon recognition, and the 3' end, to which the tRNAs corresponding amino acid is attached (by aminoacyl-tRNA synthetases). tRNAs cope with the degeneracy of the genetic code in two manners: having more than one tRNA (with a specific anti-codon) for a particular amino acid; and 'wobble' base-pairing, i.e. permitting non-standard base-pairing at the 3rd anti-codon position. The record is from RNAcentral. Lineage: Eukaryota; Perkinsozoa; Perkinsida; Perkinsidae.
GGCUGUGUGAUCUAGUGGUAUGAUUCUCGCUUAGGGUGUGAGAGGUCCCGAGUUCAAUUCUCGGCACAGCCC